CUGAAACCUAUAAAACCCAAAAUCCAUUUCAGUCCAUAAAUAAAAUCUAAAAUCUAUUUCAUUCCAUUAAUAAAACAAAAAUCCACAACAAAACCCAACCCAAUCUAGUCUAUAAAUAAAAUCGAGCUUAUGAAACCAUCAAAGUCCACGAGCAUAAGGCCCAAGGAUACCAAAAUCAUAUCAUCCAAAUGCCCCCAACUCAAACUAAAUUUGCCUAAAUCAAUAUAUACUAGUGUAGAAACCCGCGCGUUGCGGCGGGUAAAAAGCAUUGCAAAUAGUCAAGAUAUUUUCAUACCUAAAAUUAAGGUAGCUGAAGAGAAGUAGGAGAAAAUAGAAAUAGCAACAAAACAAUUUUCUAAAAUUU
Molecule: long non-coding RNA, 364 nt
Filed under: Ananas comosus (pineapple)
Lineage: Eukaryota; Viridiplantae; Streptophyta; Magnoliopsida; Poales; Bromeliaceae
Description: long non-coding RNA (ACOM_LNC010469)
Source: RNAcentral